Molecule: ribosomal RNA, 253 nt
Filed under: uncultured bacterium
Lineage: Bacteria
Description: partial 16S ribosomal RNA
Rfam family: Bacterial small subunit ribosomal RNA
Source: RNAcentral
UACGGAGGGUGCAAACGUUGCUCGGAAUUAUUGGGCGUAAAGCGCACGUAGGCGGCUCGUUAAGUCGGAUGUGAAAUCCCUCGGCUCAACCGAGGAAGUGCAUCCGAAACUGGCGAGCUUGAGUACGGAAGAGGGUCUCGGAAUUCCCGGUGUAGAGGUGAAAUUCGUAGAUAUGGGGAGGAACACCGGUGGCGAAGGCGGCCACCUGGACGGUCACUGACGCUGAGACGCGAAAGCGUGGGGAGCAAACAGG